Molecule: ribosomal RNA, 480 nt
Filed under: uncultured bacterium
Lineage: Bacteria
Description: partial 16S ribosomal RNA
Rfam family: Bacterial small subunit ribosomal RNA
Source: RNAcentral
AUUGAACGCUGGCGGCAGGCUUAACACAUGCAAGUCGAACGAUGACUCUCUAGCUUGCUAGGGAUGAUUAGUGGCGGACGGGUGAGUAACAUUUAGGAAUCUACCUAGUAGUGGGGGAUAGCUCGGGGAAACUCGAAUUAAUACCGCAUACGACCUACGGGUGAAAGGGGGCGCAAGCUCUUGCUAUUAGAUGAGCCUAAAUCAGAUUAGCUAGUUGGUGGGGUAAGGGCCCACCAAGGCGACGAUCUGUAACUGGUCUGAGAGGAUGAUCAGUCACACCGGAACUGAGACACGGUCCGGACUCCUACGGGAGGCAGCAGUGGGGAAUAUUGGACAAUGGGGGCAACCCUGAUCCAGCCAUGCCGCGUGUGUGAAGAAGGCCUUUUGGUUGUAAAGCACUUUAAGCAGGGAGGAGAGGCUAAUGGUUAAUACCCAUUAGAUUAGACGUUACCUGCAGAAUAAGCACCGGCUAACUCUGUG